RNAcentral lists this ribosomal RNA (578 nucleotides) under Cellulosimicrobium sp. Its description in RNAcentral is "bacterial SSU rRNA". It matches the Rfam family "Bacterial small subunit ribosomal RNA", at positions 53 to 646 of the family's 1533-position model. Lineage: Bacteria; Bacillati; Actinomycetota; Actinomycetes; Micrococcales; Promicromonosporaceae. The record is from RNAcentral.
CCAUGCAGUCGAACGAUGAUGCCCAGCUUGCUGGGUUGAUUAGUGGCGAACGGGUGAGUAACACGUGAGUAACCUGCCCUUGACUUCGGGAUAACUCCGGGAAACCGGGGCUAAUACCGGAUAUGAGCCGUCCUCGCAUGGGGGUGGUUGGAAAGUUUUUCGGUCAGGGAUGGGCUCGCGGCCUAUCAGCUUGUUGGUGGGGUGAUGGCCUACCAAGGCGACGACGGGUAGCCGGCCUGAGAGGGCGACCGGCCACACUGGGACUGAGACACGGCCCAGACUCCUACGGGAGGCAGCAGUGGGGAAUAUUGCACAAUGGGCGAAAGCCUGAUGCAGCGACGCCGCGUGAGGGAUGACGGCCUUCGGGUUGUAAACCUCUUUCAGCAGGGAAGAAGCGCAAGUGACGGUACCUGCAGAAGAAGCGCCGGCUAACUACGUGCCAGCAGCCGCGGUAAUACGUAGGGCGCAAGCGUUGUCCGGAAUUAUUGGGCGUAAAGAGCUCGUAUGCGGUUUGUCGCGUCUGGUGUGAAAACUCGAGGCUCAACCUCGAGCUUGCAUCGGGUACGGGCAGACUAGAG